GUGCCAGCCGCCGCGGUAAUACCGGCAGCCCGAGUGAUGGCCGAUCUUAUUGGGCCCAAAGCGUCCGUAGCCGGCCGGACAAGUCCGUUGGGAAAUCGACGCGCCUAACGCGUCGGCGUCCAGCGGAAACUGUCCGGCUUGGGGCCGGAAGAUCCGAGGGGUACGUCCGGGGUAGGAGUGAAAUCCCGUAAUCCUGGACGGACCGCCGGUGGCGAAAGCGCCUCGGAAGGACGGACCCGACGGUGAGGGACGAAAGCUGGGGUCUCGAACCGGAUUAGAAACCCGAGUAGUCC
RNAcentral lists this ribosomal RNA (293 nucleotides) under uncultured bacterium. RNAcentral describes it as "partial 16S ribosomal RNA". It matches the Rfam family "Archaeal small subunit ribosomal RNA", at positions 455 to 747 of the family's 1478-position model. The record is from RNAcentral.